CAGCCUGCCAGUGACUACAAGUUCAACGGCCGCGGUAUUUUGACCGUGCAAAGGUAGCGCAAUCACUUGUCUUUUAAAUAGAGACCUGUAUGAAUGGCUAAACGAGGGCUUAACUGUCUCCCCUUUCCAGUCAGUGAAAUUGAUCUGCCCGUGCAGAAGCGGACAUAAAAAUACAAGACGAGAAGACCCUUUGGAGCUUAAGGUACAAAACUCAACCACGUCAAGCAACUUAAUAAAAAGCAAAAACUUUGUGGAACAUGAGAUUUUACCUUCGGUUGGGGCGACCACGGAGGAAAACAAAGCCUCCAAGUGGAUUGGGAAAACCUCCUAAAACCAAGAGAGACAUCUCUAAGCCACAGAACAUCUGACCAAACAUGAUCCGGCUGCCCGAAGCCGAUCAACGAACCAAGUUACCCUAGGGAUAACAGCGCAAUCCUCUCCCAGAGUCCAUAUCGACGAGGGGGUUUACGACCUCGAUGUUGGAUCAGGACAUCCUAAUGGUGCAGCCGCUAUUAAGGGUUCGUUUGUUCAACGAUUAAAGUCCUACGUGAUCUGAGUCC
Molecule: ribosomal RNA, 560 nt
Filed under: Labeo fimbriatus (fringed-lipped peninsula carp)
Lineage: Eukaryota; Metazoa; Chordata; Actinopteri; Cypriniformes; Cyprinidae
Description: partial 16S ribosomal RNA
Rfam family: Bacterial large subunit ribosomal RNA
Source: RNAcentral